RNAcentral lists this ribosomal RNA (429 nucleotides) under bacterium. Its description in RNAcentral is "partial 16S ribosomal RNA". It matches the Rfam family "Bacterial small subunit ribosomal RNA", at positions 355 to 776 of the family's 1533-position model. The record is from RNAcentral.
UAGGGAAUCUUCGGCAAUGGGGGCAACCCUGACCGAGCAACGCCGCGUGAGUGAAGAAGGUUUUCGGAUCGUAAAGCUCUGUUGUAAGAGAAGAACGUGUGUGAGAGUGGAAAGUUCACACAGUGACGGUAACUUACCAGAAAGGGACGGCUAACUACGUGCCAGCAGCCGCGGUAAUACGUAGGUCCCGAGCGUUGUCCGGAUUUAUUGGGCGUAAAGCGAGCGCAGGCGGUUUAAUAAGUCUGAAGUUAAAGGCAGUGGCUUAACCAUUGUUCGCUUUGGAAACUGUUGAACUUGAGUGCAGAAGGGGAGGGUGGAAUUCCAUGUGUAGAGGUGAAAUGCGUAGAUAUAUGGAGGAACACCGGUGGCGAAAGCGGCUCUCUGGUCUGUAACUGACGCUGAGGCUCGAAAGCGUGGGGAGCAAACAGG